This 430-nucleotide unclassified non-coding RNA is filed under the name Hevea brasiliensis (rubber tree). Lineage: Eukaryota; Viridiplantae; Streptophyta; Magnoliopsida; Malpighiales; Euphorbiaceae. The record is from RNAcentral.
GGAAUCGCGGGGGGCCUGCCAUGGAUUCCUUGCAUUCUCACACCUCCGAGAUCAUCGGCGUCGCCGUCGCCGUCGUUGCCGUCGCCGCCGGCGUCGCUUAUCUCUAUAUCAGCAAGAAACCCAAGGCCUGCUUGGAUCCGGAGGAAUUCCGGGAGUUCAAGCUCGUAGAUCGGAAGCAGCUUAGCCACAAUGUUGCUAAGUUCAAGUUUGCGCUGCCGACGCCGGAUUCGGUGCUGGGGCUCCCGAUCGGGCAGCACAUCAGCUGCAGGGGAAAGGAUAGCCUCGGCGAUGAGGUCGUCAAGCCUUAUACGCCUACGACGCUUGAUUCGGACAUUGGGUACUUUGAGUUGGUUAUAAAGAUGUAUCCACAAGGGAGAAUGUCUUAUCAUUUCCGUGAGAUGCGAGUGGGUGACUUUCUGUCAGUUAAGGG